Non-coding RNA from Trichobilharzia regenti, 48 nucleotides. The record is from Rfam. NCBI's taxonomy places the organism in Eukaryota, Metazoa, Platyhelminthes, Trematoda, Strigeidida, Schistosomatidae.
AGUUAGCUGACGAGUCUCAAAUAGGACGAAAUUUGCGUUAUCCUAGAU